RNAcentral lists this ribosomal RNA (402 nucleotides) under uncultured Afipia sp. RNAcentral's name for it is "bacterial SSU rRNA". It matches the Rfam family "Bacterial small subunit ribosomal RNA", at positions 355 to 774 of the family's 1533-position model. The record is from RNAcentral. Lineage: Bacteria; Pseudomonadati; Pseudomonadota; Alphaproteobacteria; Hyphomicrobiales; Nitrobacteraceae.
UGGGGAAUAUUGGACAAUGGGCGCAAGCCUGAUCCAGCCAUGCCGCGUGAGUGAUGAAGGCCCUAGGGUUGUAAAGCUCUUUUGUGCGGGAAGAUAAUGACUGUACCGCAAGAAUAAGCCCCGGCUAACUUCGUGCCAGCAGCCGCGGUAAUACGAAGGGGGCUAGCGUUGCUCGGAAUCACUGGGCGUAAAGGGUGCGUAGGUGGAUUUUUAAGUCAGGGGUGAAAUCCUGGAGCUCAACUCCAGAACUGCCUUUGAUACUGGGAAUCUUGAGUUCGGGAGAGGUGAGUGGAACUGCGAGUGUAGAGGUGAAAUUCGUAGAUAUUCGCAAGAACACCAGUGGCGAAGGCGGCUCACUGGCCCGAUACUGACACUGAGGCACGAAAGCGUGGGGAGCAAACA